This 73-nucleotide transfer RNA is filed under the name Actinomadura sp. KC216. RNAcentral's name for it is "tRNA-Lys". It matches the Rfam family "tRNA". Rfam says of the family: Transfer RNA (tRNA) molecules are approximately 80 nucleotides in length. Their secondary structure includes four short double-helical elements and three loops (D, anti-codon, and T loops). Lineage: Bacteria; Bacillati; Actinomycetota; Actinomycetes; Streptosporangiales; Thermomonosporaceae. The record is from RNAcentral.
GGGUCUAUAGCAUAACGGCCAGUGCAUCCGGCUCUUACCCGGAGUUGUCCAGGUUCGAAUCCUGGUGGACCUA